UCGAACGGAUCCUUCGGGAUUAGUGGCGGACGGGUGAGUAACACGUGGGAACGUGCCCUUUGGUUCGGAACAACUCAGGGAAACUUGAGCUAAUACCGGAUGUGCCCUUCGGGGAAAGAUUUAUCGCCAUUGGAGCGGCCCGCGUCUGAUUAGCUAGUUGGUAGGGUAAAGGCCCACCAAGGCGACGAUCAGUAGCUGGUCUGAGAGGAUGAUCAGCCACAUUGGGACUGAGACACGGCCCAA
This 243-nucleotide ribosomal RNA is filed under the name uncultured bacterium. RNAcentral's name for it is "partial 16S ribosomal RNA". It matches the Rfam family "Bacterial small subunit ribosomal RNA", at positions 62 to 334 of the family's 1533-position model. The record is from RNAcentral.